This 2430-nucleotide long non-coding RNA is filed under the name Capsicum annuum. Its description in RNAcentral is "long non-coding RNA (CANN_LNC017983)". The record is from RNAcentral. Lineage: Eukaryota; Viridiplantae; Streptophyta; Magnoliopsida; Solanales; Solanaceae.
ACUUUUUAGAUUGUAAUUGUAGUCUUGGCUUGUAGUCUUCUCCUUCUCCUUAAGAGAGAGGAACCGAAUCUUGAAGGUUCUAUACAAGUGAGGUGGAUUCUUCACUUAUGUUGAGCAUUUGGCAAGAAAGGUGGGUUUUGAGGAGUGUGAAUUCUCUUGGUCCACUUAAGAAUGAAGUGUUAUCCAUCCAUGGUGAAGUGUGUCUAAUUGUUUGAUACACAAUUAGGUGCUUAUUAUUAAAGGUGGUGUAUGUUUCAUUAUCUAUCUUUACUUUUAUCAAAUCUUCUUCAUCUCUCUUCUUCUAUGUGUUGUUUUCUCUUCUUGUAGUUGCUGGUUUUUGUGUUUCAAGUCCUUAAUUUUGGUUAUUAGCUUAUUUUAGUGUAUCAUUUGAUAUCAUAGUCAUGUUUUAGAGUUGUUCCCACAACUCUAAGUCUUGUAUUAUUGAUUACCUUGAAGAAAAUCAACAAAAAAGAGUGUAGAAAAUAAAAAAUCUCACAAAAAAAUUGUUAACCCAUUUUUGCGUUUUGGCAGAUUUUUGAGACUUAGAUCUAUUUUAUUUUUUGUGUGUUUUGUUAGUUUCUAGAUCCUUGUUUUCUAGCACUAAGAGAGUCUAGAUCUAAGUUUUGAGCAAGAUCCGGGUUGUUUUGAGCAUUCCACCAUUGUUGAACUUGAGUUUGAAGCUUUUUGAGGGUGGAUUUCAUGUGGUAUAUUGUGGUGUGGAUGUUUUGAAUUUGAUUUUAUGUUAUUUGUGCUUGGCUUGGCAAAGGAAACCUAGAUCUAAAAGAAAAUUUGAAUUUGGAGGUCAUUUGCCUUAUGGUCAAACUUGGCCAACUCUUGAAUAUUCAUAUUGUUCUUCCUCAAUCUUCAUAUCUUGUUGGAGAAGAUUAUUCAAAAGUGCUUGUUUGAUCUUGAAAAGGGAGGAAAGAGAGUGUAUUAGUUGUUAAAGGCAAUUUCCAAGAAGCUUCCUAGUCUUGCCAAAAGAAGAAAACAACAAAGACAAAAGGAUUCUUCAAGUACAAUUGCAAGUACAAGGGGGGACUAAUUCAUUUCAAAUUCAUUUUGAAGCUUAAAAAGGCUCCAAAAACCUUGCAAAUUUCUCCCAAAACCGAAAUCACACUCUCUUGGGAUUGAGUUGGCUGAGACACAAAAUUAAACAAUUGAAAAAUUUGCAAAGUUGACGUCCAAUCACAAAGUGCCAUGUCAUCAUUUUUGGGAACAACCAAAUUUAUCUCAAACUUGAAUUUCUUAGUUUCUAAUUUUUGUUUCUUGGUUACAUUUUGAUUCUAUCACUAAUUAGCAAACUAGUAACUACCUACUAGGUUGAUAAUUAGUUUAGUGUCCUUUUAUUUCGCGUUAACGUUCUUUUGAGCUUUUCUCGUUUUGUAACUUGUAGUAUCUUGUUGGUUCAAGUCCGAAAGCAAUUUUUCUUUGAGUCAUCUCAAAAAAAAUCUAUUUCGGACAAAAGUAGACUCAUCCCUCAAUCACUCAUGUAGUACAAGUUGAAUUUUCAACACUUGUGAAACCAAGUGUGCGGUAAAAAUCUAAGAGUGGGAGUUGGUGAGGUUAUUUUGAACUAACAUUCUUUGUUUGUUUUUGUUAGUAUCUUUUCUUAGGUACCAUGGACAAAAAUGCAAUUUGGACCCAUCUUGAAGUUCUUUCCCGAGAAAUGACAAAAAUGUAAAUGGUUUUUGAUAGGCUAGAAACUGAGAUGUCAUCAAUGAAAGGAGGUGUGUCUACUUUGAAAAGAAGGUUGGAACGUGUGAAAGGUCAAAAGAAUUCCAAUCACUCCACUUCUCAAAACUACUAUGCUUCCUCAAGUGAUAAAGAGAUGAAUCAAAGGAGAAAAUUAUCAAUCAAAGGAGAAAAUUGUCAAACUCUCUUGUAAUGAGAGCAUCCCAAAGGAACAAGUAGGCUGCCACGACACACUACAAGGUGAAGAAGAAUGUGCUCAAGAACUUCAAGAUGUGAAUUUGUGGUCAAAUUCUUUUCAAGAUAGAGAGGAUGAUACGGGUGUAAAGAAUACAUGAUCUUUCUCAAAGGACCAAGCUCGGGUUUACAAGUGGAUGAAGACCUUUUUUUGAAUAAUUUCAAAGUCUUGGCUUAAGUUGAAGAGAGAAGAAGGGUCCAUGCAUUCCAAAGCCUCCCCUUGCCUUCUUGUUAAGGACAUUGUGGUCUUUUAAAGCCUUUCUUUUACACUCCAUAGGAGCCCCCUUCAUUAAGGGUAUUUUAGUCUUUGAUCGUAAUAACUAUAAAUAGACAAUUAGACUUCUAUUUUUCAUUAAUUGUUUAAUGAUAUUGAAGAACAUUUGUUUCUCUUAAGAGAGAGUGUUUUAGUGUAGGGCUUGGAAAAACCAUUGUAGUGUAGGACUUAGAAAAGUCAUUGUAACUAGGGUUAGCUUGAGUGUGGAUUCACUUGAGUUGACAAUCCGG